AUCGUAACUCCUACGGGAGGCAGCAGUGGGGAAUUUUGCACAAUGGGGGCAACCCUGAUGCAGCGACGCCGCGUGAUUUAGAAGGCCUUCGGGUUGUAAAAAUCUUUUGUAUGGGAAGAAAAUGACAGUACCAUACGAAUAAGGACCGGCUAAUUACGUGCCAGCAGCCGCGGUAAUACGUAAGGUCCGAGCGUUGUCCGGAAUCAUUGGGCGUAAAGGGUACGUAGGCGGAUAAGCAAGUUAGUAGUGAAAUCCUAUAGCUCAACUAUAGUAAGCUUUUAAAACUGCUCAUCUUGAGGUUUGGAAGGGAAAGUGGAAUUCCUAGUGUAGCGGUGAAAUGCGCAGAUAUUAGGAGGAGUACCGGUGGCGAAGGCGACUUUCUGGCCAUAAACUGACGCUGAGGUACGAAAGCGUGGGUAGCAAACAGGAUUAGAAACCCGAGUAGUCCUAGAGC
This 454-nucleotide ribosomal RNA is filed under the name uncultured bacterium. RNAcentral describes it as "bacterial SSU rRNA". It matches the Rfam family "Bacterial small subunit ribosomal RNA", at positions 329 to 802 of the family's 1533-position model. The record is from RNAcentral.